GUGUCAGCCGCCGCGGUAAUACGGAGGGGGUUAGCGUUGUUCGGAAUUACUGGGCGUAAAGCGCGCGUAGGCGGAUUGUAAAGUUGGGGGUGAAAGCCCAGGGCUCAACCCUGGAACUGCCUCCAAAACUUCCAGGCUGGAGUUCGGGAGAGGUGAGUGGAAUUCCGAGUGUAGAGGUGAAAUGCGUAGAUAUUCGGAGGAACACCAGUGGCGAAGGCGGCUAACUGGGUCGAUACUGACGCUGAGGUGCGAAGGUGUGGGGAGCAAACAGGAUUAGAUACCCUGGAAGUCCACGCCGUAA
RNAcentral lists this ribosomal RNA (301 nucleotides) under uncultured bacterium. RNAcentral describes it as "bacterial SSU rRNA". It matches the Rfam family "Bacterial small subunit ribosomal RNA", at positions 505 to 805 of the family's 1533-position model. The record is from RNAcentral.